AAGAAUGAAUAGAGAAAGAAGGAAAGAAAAGAAGAAGUCUUGUGUCUGUCUAUCUUCAUCUCUGUUUCUGUCUCCGUAUCCUUCUCUGCCUUUCUCUCUCUC
RNAcentral lists this non-coding RNA (102 nucleotides) under uncultured Geminigera. Lineage: Eukaryota; Cryptophyceae; Pyrenomonadales; Geminigeraceae. The record is from RNAcentral.